This 439-nucleotide ribosomal RNA is filed under the name uncultured bacterium. Its description in RNAcentral is "partial 16S ribosomal RNA". It matches the Rfam family "Bacterial small subunit ribosomal RNA", at positions 339 to 795 of the family's 1533-position model. The record is from RNAcentral.
CUACGGGUUGCACCAGUGAGGAAUAUUGCACAAUGGGGGGAACCCUGAUGCAGCAACGCCGCGUGGAGGAUGACGCAUUUCGGUGUGUAAACUCCUUUUAUAUGUCAAGAAAAUGUCGGUAGCAUAUGAAUAAGCACCGGCUAACUCCGUGCCAGCAGCCGCGGUAAUACGGAGGGUGCAAGCGUUACUCGGAAUCACUGGGCGUAAGGGACGCGUAGGCGGGUUGGAAAGUCAGGUGCGAAAUCCUACAGCUUAACUGUAGAACUGCACUUGAAACUUCUAAUCUAGAGUAUGGGAGGGGGAGAUGGAAUUAGUGGUGUAGGGGUAAAAUCCGUAGAUAUCACUAGGAAUACCUAAAGCGAAGGCGAUCUCCUGGAACAUUACUGACGCUAAGGCGUGAAAGCGUGGGGAGCAAACAGGAUUAGAUACCCCUGUAGUC